CGCCUGUUUAUCAAAAACAUGGCUCUCUGUAUAUUGAAGAUAGAGAGUCGGACCUGCCCGGUGAAUUUUUUAACGGCCGCGGUACUCUGACCGUGCAAAGGUAGCAUAAUACCAUUUGCCUUAUAAUUGAAGGCUAGAAUGAAUGGUUUGACAAGAAUACAACUGUCUCUUUACAAUUACAUAAAAUUUUAUCUGCAGUUGAAGAAGCCUGCAUUUGAAUAAAAGACAAGAAGACCCUAUCGAGCUUAAAAAAAACUGGUGGAAUAACAAACUUAAUCCUAACUUAUAAAUAAAUAAAUAGUCAACUACUGGAAAUUUUGGUUGGGGCGACCGGGGAACAAAAAAAACUUCCUUUAUAAAAAUUUAGAUGCCCAAAUAUUGAUCCAGCAUUAUAUGAUUAAAGAAAUUAGUUACCGUAGGGAUAACAGCAUUAUCUUUUUUAAGAGUUCUUAUCGAAAAAAAGGUUUGUGACCUCGAUGUUGGACCAGAAUAUCCUAAAGAUGCAGCCGUCUUUAAGGGUUGGUCUGUUCGACCAUUAAAAUUCUACGUGAUCUGAUUCACACCGGA
RNAcentral lists this ribosomal RNA (567 nucleotides) under Turbinella rapa. RNAcentral describes it as "partial 16S ribosomal RNA". It matches the Rfam family "Bacterial large subunit ribosomal RNA", at positions 1797 to 2620 of the family's 2925-position model. The record is from RNAcentral. Lineage: Eukaryota; Metazoa; Mollusca; Gastropoda; Neogastropoda; Turbinellidae.